Molecule: long non-coding RNA, 647 nt
Filed under: Mus caroli (Ryukyu mouse)
Lineage: Eukaryota; Metazoa; Chordata; Mammalia; Rodentia; Muridae
Description: lncRNA (MGP_CAROLIEiJ_G0006074.1)
Source: RNAcentral
GGGUCUCCAUUCUACAUCUACUGGGAAGCCACUGGGUUGCUGUGUGUUUUCUGAAACUGCCACAGCAAAUCACCACAACGCCGUGACUGACACAACGCAAGCUUGCUGUCAUUCUGCAGACUAGUAGUCCAGCAUGGCCUCACGGGACAACAUGAAGCCGCAACUGCAUCUCUUACUAGAAGAUUCUUAACCAAUUCCAAAGGCAUCUAGGAUGACAUUUCCUAAUACAGUGUAGAAAAGUCUAAUCUGAUAAUGUGACGUCACUUACUUUCUCCAGUGGCUUUAUUAGAUCUUCUGUAUUUAAAAAACAUAAGGAAAAAUCUCUUGAUUGUUAAGGGGGAACUUGAGAGAAUAACAUCUCCAGGAAUUACUAAAUAUGAUGUUUUGAAGACUUUCUCAAGAUCUUCUCAACAGGCUUUCAGAAUCUGGCUGCUACUUGUUUGUCUUGCUAGUGACACUUGGGGACAGUGCUUAGAGGACUGAGGUUGCCUUCCCCUUGCUGCUGGCUUCUGACCCUCUUCCUUCAUAUCCAAGGGGCCUCACGGAGUGCAGACUCAGUAUUACAUUGGGCAGUUCUCGGUAAUCUGGUAACACGUGUCCGAUGUCAGUUCCAGUUCUCUGGUUGAAUCUGAUAGGUACAGAUCCCA